CCCUUAGAUGUCCUGGGCUGCACGCGCGCUACACUGAUGUGUCCAGUAAGCACCUAACCUCUUCCGAAAGGAACGGGUAACCUUUGCAAAGCACAUCGUGAUUGGGAUAGAUUAUUGCAAUUAUUAGUCUUGAACGAGGAAUUCCUAGUAAGCACAAGUCAUCAGCUUGUGUUGAUUACGUCCCUGCCCUUUGUACACACCGCCCGUCGCUCCUACCGAUUGAAUGUUCCGGUGAGCUCUUCGGACUGCGCGGUCUGCAGUUUCUGCGUUCCGUGCGGAAAGUUGCGCAAACCUUAACAUUUAGAGGAAGGAGAAGUCGUAACA
Molecule: ribosomal RNA, 324 nt
Filed under: uncultured eukaryote
Lineage: Eukaryota
Description: partial 18S ribosomal RNA
Rfam family: Eukaryotic small subunit ribosomal RNA
Source: RNAcentral